UACGUAGGGGGCAAGCGUUAUCCGGAUUUACUGGGUGUAAAGGGAGCGUAGACGGCUUUGCAAGCCAGAUGUGAAAGCCCGGGGCUCAACCCCGGGACUGCAUUUGGAACUGUGUGGCUAGAGUGUCGGAGAGGCAGGCGGAAUUCCUAGUGUAGCGGUGAAAUGCGUAGAUAUUAGGAGGAACACCAGUGGCGAAGGCGGCCUGCUGGACAAUGACUGACGUUGAGGCUCGAAAGCGUGGGGAGCAAACAGG
RNAcentral lists this ribosomal RNA (253 nucleotides) under uncultured bacterium. Its description in RNAcentral is "partial 16S ribosomal RNA". It matches the Rfam family "Bacterial small subunit ribosomal RNA", at positions 524 to 776 of the family's 1533-position model. The record is from RNAcentral.